UAUUUAGGGGGAGAAUAUAUGAAAGGGGGAAGAAAAAGUAAGUUAGCUUUCUUUAGCUGUCUACAACUAAGGGGGAUUAAACUACUCUUUAGUUGUGUACUACUGAGGGGGAGAUUCUUCUUUCAACUAAGGAGGAGGAUUGAUCUUUCAUCUAAGGGGAGACAACUACUUAUCACUAAGGGGAACCUGAUCAAGGUAACGGGAGGAGAAGUAUAAGGUGAUACAAUUAUUCUUCAGUAAGUGGUAGAAAGGAACUUAUUCAUUACCACUGAAGAAUUCAAUGAAGCUGCUGAUUGUUCUUUGCAUAAUGGAAUGUUUUGAAUUCUCUUCAAGACAGACUAUGAGGAUUAUCUGGCAGGUAAGCAAGAACUAGAGAAAUAAAGGUGAUAUGCACAUCUGUUAUUUCUAUUCAUGAAAUCUGGAAAUGUAUUAUAUGAUCCAGAAACUUUGUAGCAUUAUUUACUAGUCCAGGACUUUACUUUUUCUAGUGUUAGUUGAGUUAUCCUCCAGAGGAUUUGCUUGUUAUGAUUAACAAACAAAUAGGGGGAGAUUGUAAGUCUAAAUGUAAAGACAACCCUAUCUGUUACAUAGGGAUGAUAACUCAACAAUAGAACAGGACAAGUAAAUAACACUACGCCUGCA
This 642-nucleotide long non-coding RNA is filed under the name Daucus carota (carrot). RNAcentral describes it as "long non-coding RNA (DCAR_LNC006235)". Lineage: Eukaryota; Viridiplantae; Streptophyta; Magnoliopsida; Apiales; Apiaceae. The record is from RNAcentral.